GUGUCAUUAGGCUGUUGCUGUGACAUCAUAGAGCAAGCUUACACAAACCUAGAUGGUCUAGGCUACAUCAGUCACUCCACAGAACCUCUCAGUGCAACCGAGAGACAUGGUAAACAGAUGUAUGAGGCCCUGCAGUUGCUGUCACACAACACGUUACAGAACAUUUUUUAUACACCGGUUCCAAGAUUAUGUCACACUAACCCUUCUUAUGCUCAAGAAUUACAAAAUAAAGAUGGUGAUAUGGAAUUCAUUGCUAAAGUGCCUUGGAAUAUGAAAUUGAAUCUAUAAAACACUGAUGUAAUGCUAUGAGCUCAUAAUAUAAACAGAUACCAAAU
RNAcentral lists this long non-coding RNA (335 nucleotides) under Fukomys damarensis (Damara mole-rat). RNAcentral describes it as "lncRNA (ENSFDAG00000029741.1)". Lineage: Eukaryota; Metazoa; Chordata; Mammalia; Rodentia; Bathyergidae. The record is from RNAcentral.